CUCCUCCCCCCUCCGCUACCCAUUGUCUCUCCAUACAGUACCAGGCUGAGGGGAUGCCAUUCCGGCUCCAGCGAGGGAUGCAGGAGAAGGAGGUGCUGCGGGUUGAAAAAGUACUUCCUGUUUCCUUCCUUGAACCAGAAGUUUUCGUCCAUAGCGGUUCUGCUCGAAAGGAUUCUUCAUUUAUCAUUUCAAGCAACGUUUUUUUCUAAACGUCGCCGUGGAGUUAUUGAGUCUGUUUAGCUGAUCGGAGAGCAAGCUUCCAGCCAGUGGGCCCAUGUCGAUGACUUCUGUUUUGUUUAAUCACCAUUUGGAAACAAUUAAGGUCCUGUGACAUGCAACUUGCUUAGGUGGGCACUGGCCUCCCCCGUGAAGCCUGUUCAACAGCGAUUGGCAGCAACAUUAAAGUAUCCAUUCAAGACUAUAUUUUUUUUCUGUGUUGGCGAGCAACCCUCGCAGUCUUCAUUCUUGAAAUGUCUAAAUUCAGGGUUUGAUGUAAGGAGAAAAUCGCUAAAGAGUGAAGAAGAAUGUGAUGCAUACUAGAUCAAUAUUUUGUCACCUUUAGAUUGCCUGUGUGCUUGUCAGGCAUCCAUAUGGACCACUAUUACGUUGUCACAAAAUAUGUUCUGAUCAUCUAUAGACAGGAAAGGGUGCCUUUCACAUUACCAAUAUGGUACCAAAUCCCGAUACCUGGGAAUCGAUAGCGGUAGUUUUCAGUAAUUUUGAGUGUGUGUUUGAUAAAUGUUAACUGUAUAAUAAUAAAACCAUUUUUUAACUUUUAACACACAGUUUAGUAACUCUGUUGUUCAGUUGUUAUAUAUAUAUUUAUUUAACUUCAAGUUCUGACUCUCAUUAACAAGUAUUGUAUAGUAAACUUUGCAUGCAGUUGCAAUUCCAAAGUAUUAGAUAGCAGUAGUGUAUAGCUACGGUGUGUUGCCUAGCUAGGAUAUAGUCUUUGCCAUUAAGUUAAAUCUGCCAGUCUUGUCUUUUGUUGAGUCCUGCAAAGUGUUUGUAAUGUAAGUAUUGUACUUAUUACACACCAGUUGUUUGAUUGUAACGUGCGUCAUAGUUAUAGUUUUCGUGACCCAAUUUAGAAGUAUUAAACUUGCCAUAUAAAAUUGCUAAGGCUAAUCAGUAGCAUAUGACACGACAUCAAGCUAGCAUACUUUGAAAAGUGGGGCCUUACCUUGUGUUUAUGCAUUUUGCUUUGUUGGCAAUUGAAAACUUCAACAUAUAGAGGUAGAUCGGCCAAGUCUGCUCUGAGUGCUGCUUGAGUGCUCGUUUGCCCGCCAAGUGUUUGAGCCGGUCAUCUGCAACCGGACGUGACCUCACGUGCCCUGAAGUUAUCAAAUUAUGGCACUGUUUGAUUUUACAAGAAUCGAUACCCACCAGUACUGACCGAAUUCUAUCUAUAAAAGUACUGGACUCUGUAGCCAUCCCCAUUUAUAACCACAAUUCCAAAAAAUGACUACAUCUUUUAUACCUCCUAUUUUACAAAGGAAAUUAAUAAGUUACAUUUAUGUAGAUCACAAAGAUAUUGUUAGCAUUCAUCCUUACAUGGAAACACAUUCCAUUUGAGGGGAAAAGAGGAGCACCGUGACCUAGUAAGCCGGUACUUAAUAUUUCCAGUGCUAAGGAACAGUGGGUGAUUAUUUAUUAUGUUUUCUUGUGCAGGUUCUGGGAGAUCUAGGAACAAGCUUCCAGGAAAUACUUCUAACAUCUUGUGAGAUGAUUGGUUUGGUUGUUAUAUUGAUGAAAACAGUAUUUGUUUUUAAAUAAAAGU
This is a long non-coding RNA of Nerophis ophidion (straightnose pipefish), 1780 nucleotides long. RefSeq lists it as uncharacterized. Lineage: Eukaryota; Metazoa; Chordata; Actinopteri; Syngnathiformes; Syngnathidae. The transcript is spliced from 4 exons. The record is from RefSeq and is a predicted model, not a curated record.